Molecule: long non-coding RNA, 553 nt
Organism: Oncorhynchus tshawytscha (Chinook salmon)
Lineage: Eukaryota; Metazoa; Chordata; Actinopteri; Salmoniformes; Salmonidae
Source: Ensembl
CAUCCAUCAGGCUCCUCCUCUCCUUUAUUCUAGUCUCCUCCAUCAAUCUCCUACUCUCCUCUCUUCUAGUCUCCUCCAUCAGGCUCCUCCUCUCCUUUAUUCUAGUCUCCUCCAUCAGUCUUCUCCUCUCCUUUAUUCUAGUCUCCUACAUCAGUCUCCUCCUCUCCUUUAUUCUAGUCUCCUCCAUCAGGCUCCUCCUCUCCUUUAUUCUAGUCUCCUACAUCAGUCUCCUCCUCUCCUUUAUUCAAGUGUCCUCCAUCAGUCUCAUCCUCUCCUCUCUUCUAGUCUCCUCCAUCAGUAUCCUCCUCUCCUCUCUUCUAGUCUCCUCCAUCAGUAUCCUCCUCUCCUCUCUUCUAGUCUCCUCCAUCAAUCUCCUCCUCUGCUCUCUUCUAUUCUCCUCCAUCAGGCUCCUUCUCUUCUGUCUUCUAGUCUCCUCCAUCAGGCUCCUCCAUUCUUCUAGUCUCCUUCAUCAUACUCCUCCUCUCCUUUAUUCUAGUCUCCUACAUCACUCUCCUCCUCUCCUUUAUUCUAGUCUCCUCCAUCAGUCUCCUCC